GGAUGAACGCUGGCGGCGUGCCUAACACAUGCAAGUCGAACGCGAGUCUUCGGGACUCGAGUGGCGGACGGGUGAGUAACACGUUAGUACCUGCCCCAAAGUGGGGAAUAACUGCCCGAAAGGGUGGCUAAUACCGCAUGUGGCCGUUUACGGUCAAAGCCUUCGGGCGCUUUGGGAGGGGCUUGCGUCUGAUUAGCUAGUUGGUAGGGUAAUGGCCUACCAAGGCGAUGAUCAGUAGCNGGUUCGAGAGGAUGACCAGCCACACGGGGACUGAGAUACGGCCCCGACUCCUACGGGAAGCAGCAGUGAGGAAUCUUCCGCAAUGGACGAAAGUCUGACGGAGCAACGCCGCGUGCAGGAUGACGGCC
Molecule: ribosomal RNA, 368 nt
Filed under: uncultured bacterium
Lineage: Bacteria
Description: bacterial SSU rRNA
Rfam family: Bacterial small subunit ribosomal RNA
Source: RNAcentral